AACGAACGCUGGCGGCAUGCCUAACACAUGCAAGUCGAACGAGACCUUCGGGUCUAGUGGCGCACGGGUGCGUAACGCGGGGGAACCUGCCCUUAGGUUCGGAAUAACUCCCCGAAAGGGGUGCUAAUACCGGAUAAUGUCUUCGGACCAAAGAUUUAUCGCCUUUGGAUGGGCCCGUGUUGGAUUAGCUAGUUGGUAGGGUAAAAGCCUACCAAGGCGACGAUCCAUAGCUGGUCUGAGAGGAUGAUCAGCCACACUGGGACUGCGACACGGCCCAGACUCCUACGGGAGGCAGCAGUGGGGAAUAUUGGACAAUGGGCGAAAGCCUGAUCCAGCAAUGCCGCGUGAGUGAUGAAGGCCUUAGGGUUGUAAAGCUCUUUUACCCGGGAUGAUAAUGACAGUACCGGGAGAAUAAGCUCCGGCUAACUCCGUG
RNAcentral lists this ribosomal RNA (433 nucleotides) under uncultured bacterium. RNAcentral's name for it is "partial 16S ribosomal RNA". It matches the Rfam family "Bacterial small subunit ribosomal RNA", at positions 29 to 507 of the family's 1533-position model. The record is from RNAcentral.